GGUAAGGAUCCUUUUUCACCGUUCAAGCGUUCAGCUCUAUUAGGUACCAAGUCCACAUCAAUAUCCCAAACUUGAUGAUAACAUGUUAUGUAAUUCUUAAUAAUUUAGAAUAAUAUAAAAUAAAUUUUCAAACGUUCAUGUUGUAUACUUGUAUUGUUCAAAGGUGGUGGAAAUGGAAAAGCUUGUAAUCUCUUUCAAGGGAACUACACAUCAACCAUAAAGUGUUGUUUGUUACAGAAAUUUACGAUACACAUAAGUCACACCAUUUGUUCUUUAUUUACUUAGGCUAAGCCUAAAACUUGCCACGAUAAGCCACCAUCAUAGUUGCUUCUAUCAAUCAGC
RNAcentral lists this unclassified non-coding RNA (342 nucleotides) under Hevea brasiliensis (rubber tree). Lineage: Eukaryota; Viridiplantae; Streptophyta; Magnoliopsida; Malpighiales; Euphorbiaceae. The record is from RNAcentral.